Molecule: long non-coding RNA, 517 nt
Organism: Girardinichthys multiradiatus
Lineage: Eukaryota; Metazoa; Chordata; Actinopteri; Cyprinodontiformes; Goodeidae
Exons: 2
Source: RefSeq, a predicted model, not a curated record
AAUCACUGCACCUGAAGUGGUUAUUCAGGCCUGCUCCAGCUUUCCCAAUCAGGUGUGAGGGGGAGAACUGGAGACAAAGGAGCUACAGGCCAGUUGACCCUUUUUAGGGUUAAAGGAUGGCGAGCUUCUGACAACUGGCUGGGCCAGGAGAACUUGAAAUUCACUCCAUACUGGACUGGUAGGAGGCUGAUGGUCCACAGUAUUUCCCCCUCCUUCUCACUAUACCGACACACAAUCCAUUAUUCAUCUCUUCUUCAUUGGGAGCAAAUUGCACUUGGACAUUUUCAUCUUAAAUAUCUGGAUAAUCAGACCAUGAACUAUUUAAAUAUGUGUCAGUCAGACAUUGUGCUGACCGGAGGGGAAAUUUAGGAUUUUCGUGCACAUUCAUAUGGAAGAUCUACUGCAGUACUGUGUAUAUAUAUUUUGUAUUUAUUGUUGGGUUCUAUGUAUGUUUUGUGUCUUGUGGUGUUCACUUUAAUUUUCUCUUCAAUAAAAUACAUGGUAUUGAAAGCAGUUA